This 477-nucleotide ribosomal RNA is filed under the name uncultured bacterium. RNAcentral describes it as "partial 16S ribosomal RNA". It matches the Rfam family "Bacterial small subunit ribosomal RNA", at positions 30 to 507 of the family's 1533-position model. The record is from RNAcentral.
AUUGAACGCUGGCGGCAUGCCUUACACAUGCAAGUCGAACGGUAACAGGUUAAGCUGACGAGUGGCGAACGGGUGAGUAAUGUAUCGGAACGUGCCCAGUCGUGGGGGAUAACUGCUCGAAAGAGCAGCUAAUACCGCAUACGACCUGAGGGUGAAAGCGGGGGAUCGCAAGACCUCGCGCGAUUGGAGCUGCCGAUAUCAGAUUAGGUAGUUGGUGAGGUAAAGGCUCACCAAGCCGACGAUCUGUAGCUGGUCUGAGAGGACGACCAGCCACACUGGGACUGAGACACGGCCCAGACUCCUACGGGAGGCAGCAGUGGGGAAUUUUGGACAAUGGGCGCAAGCCUGAUCCAGCCAUGCCGCGUGCGGGAAGAAGGCCUUCGGGUUGUAAACCGCUUUUGUCAGGGAAGAAAAGGUUCUGGCUAAUACCUGGGACUCAUGACGGUACCUGAAGAAUAAGCACCGGCUAACUACGUG